UACGGGGGGGCAAGCGUUGUUCGGAAUUACUGGGCGUAAAGGGCUCGUAGGCGGCCAACUAAGUCAGACGUGAAAUCCCUCGGCUUAACCGGGGAACUGCGUCUGAUACUGGAUGGCUUGAGUUUGGGAGAGGGAUGCGGAAUUCCAGGUGUAGCGGUGAAAUGCGCAGAUAGUCAGGAAGAACACCCGUGGCGAAGGCGGCUCUCUGGUACGUGACUGACGCUGAGACGCGAAGCGUGGGAGC
This 244-nucleotide ribosomal RNA is filed under the name uncultured bacterium. RNAcentral describes it as "partial 16S ribosomal RNA". It matches the Rfam family "Bacterial small subunit ribosomal RNA", at positions 524 to 769 of the family's 1533-position model. The record is from RNAcentral.